AGGGUUUGAUCAUGGCUCAGGAUGAACGCUAGCGGCAGGCCUAAUACAUGCAAGUCGAGGGGCAGCACGAGAUUUCGGUCUUGGUGGCGACCGGCGCACGGGUGCGUAACGCGUAUGCAAUCUACCCACUGCAGAGGGAUAGCCCGUGGAAACAUGGAUUAAUACCUCAUAAUACAGGGAGCCCACCUGGGCAUAUUGUUAAAGCUCCGGCGGCAGUGGAUGAGCAUGCGUCCCAUUAGUUAGUUGGUAAGGUAACGGCUUACCAAGACGAUGAUGGGUAGGGGUUCUGAGAGGAUGAUCCCCCACACUGGUACUGAGACACGGACCAGACUCCUACGGGAGGCAGCAGUAGGGAAUAUUGGUCAAUGGACGCAAGUCUGAACCAGCCAUGCCGCGUGCAGGAAGACGGCCUUCUGGGUUGUAAACUGCUUUUAUCAGGGAAGAAAAUGUCCUUGCGAGGAUAAUUGCCGGUACCUGAAGAAUAAGCACCGGCUAACUCCGUGCCAGCAGCCGCGGUAAUACGGAGGGUGCAAGCGUUGUCCGGAUUUAUUGGGUUUAAAGGGUGCGUAGGCGGCCUAUAAAGUCAGUGGUGAAAGGUAUCAGCUUAACUGAUGAAGUGCCAUUGAAACUUAUAGGCUUGAGUACAGACGAGGUAGGCGGAAUUUAUGGUGUAGCGGUGAAAUGCAUAGAUACCAUAAAGAACACCGAUAGCGAAGGCAGCUUACUAGACUGUAACUGACGCUGAGGCACGAAAGC
Molecule: ribosomal RNA, 756 nt
Filed under: uncultured bacterium
Lineage: Bacteria
Description: bacterial SSU rRNA
Rfam family: Bacterial small subunit ribosomal RNA
Source: RNAcentral